UGCCUUGACUGAGUAAGUCAGAGAAGGCUUCCUGGAGGAGAGCGAAGGGUGUGGGGCUGGGUUGAGAUACAGGAAGAUCUGGGUUUGAAUUAUAGUUUGGCUGCUUCCUAGCUGUUUGAUCUUGGACAAAACUUUCAUUCAUUCUAUAUUUUUUGGAGUGUCUACUCCAUGCCAAUCAUGUGUGAAAUGUUGGGAUAACAAAGGCGAAUUCAAUCUGGCUCUCGUCCUCGGAGCUUAAGCAAAUCAUCUGGGGUAGCGUGACCCAUGCUACGAUGGAGGUGGAAUACGGGGCUGCAGGGCGGGGCCACAGGACAUAGUGGGCAGCUUAACCUCCUUGAGCCUCCCUAUCCCUAAUUCACGUGAUGGGGUUUGUAACCACUUCUCACAUCGUUGAGAGAAAAGGGUGAGCCUGACUCAGAGGUGUGGCAAAGGAAGGGCAGGGCAGGCUUUAAGGACAGGGACAGGGCUGUCAGAGGCUGAGGCUAGGGAGGGGCAGGAAGGGGUGUGAGGCAGGGCGGAAGAGAGCAGGGCCCUGGGCAGGUGCUGAGCCAGGUCCUGCAGGUCACCCAGUCGCUUGAGUCCACGAAUGCUGGAGGCAGGCACUGGAGAGCCAGGGUGGUUCAGCCGCAGCUCCUCUGAGCAGGGAGUCAAACAGGGCUGAAACAGACACCAGCUCUCCAGGACCAGCUGGAGCCUGGACCUGUGGCCUUCCCUGCCUCCACCUGGGCCUCAACCGUCACGACCACCUGGCCUUUGAGGUAGGGUUUGGAGAAGGAAGUCAGCCUAUUAUCAGGAGAAGGCUUGAAUUUCUAUAUUCAUAGCUUGUUUCUGUCACUUACUAGCCUUGUGAUCAUGGGCAACUUGUCUAAUCUCUGUCCCUCAGUUUCCUCCUUUGUAAAAUAGGUCUCAUAGAACUCAUCCCCAAAAGUCCUUGUGAAGAUUUAGUUUGUAAGCCAGAUGUCUGCAGACCUCCAGUAAAAGAAUAUGUUUUUGGUAUUAGUAUGUAUGUCCCAAAUAUUGCUUGGAAUAUGCUUAUACAAACAAAAAUCAUUUGUUUUUUAUCUGAAAUUCAAAUUUACCUGGAUGUCCUGUAUUUUAUCUGGAAACCCUACACAGAAAUCAAAUGGCUCACGCUGUGUCUCAGAGCUGCAACGAUCCAACGCCCUCCAUCCUUCAGAGGCUGUCUGAGUCCGGGGACACAACUCCCACCCUCCUCUCCUGCCAGCCGCGGCCCGUGGCUGCUCUCUUCACUUCGUCCCGCUUCGCCCCGACUGUGGAUCUACCCGCUCCCUUCUCCCUCAGUCCCCAAAGCACCAGACUCACAGGCCUGCUGUGUGACCCACUUUUACCGACCUUUCGGGGAGAGUAGAGGGCAUUUGUGACUCAGCUCAGAGCAGGAAACACAUCUCACGUCAACUGUCAGACAGCGCUGCUCCGAAUCCCAUCACAGUGCUCCAGCAGGGGGCGUCCUCACCGGCCGCGGCCACAGCCACGGCUCAACCCGGCCUAGCUCCCAGACACCCUCCUUCCACCGCCUGUUUUCCACCGUCCCCGCCUGCUCUUUCAAGCCAGCAGCAAACAACACCCUAAUCCGUGUCUUUAUUAUUCAAAGACCUUAAGCACUCUUUCCCACCUCGUUCCCAUCUUGAUUAUUUCAGGGAAUGAAUUAGGGAUUCACCUUUACAAUCAAAAAAGUUCUCUCAAAGCCAGGCUACUGGAGUUCUAAUUCUGCCUUCCCACUUUUACUAGCUGUGAAAUCUCAGGAAAGUUACUUAACCUCUCUCUGUCUCAUUUUCCUCAUCUUUAAAAAACAGGAUGAUAAUAUUUAGCUCCUAAGAUGGUUGUGAGGAUUUAAGUGAGCUGAUAUAUCCAAGAAUGUCUAGAACAGCGCGUGGCAGAAUGGGCAUUGCAUAUGGGUUUAAUCUUGUAACUGCCAUGUUUCACCAAUUCUAAGGUGUAUCUCGUUUCUCAUCAUAAGAGCUCUUCCGCUCGUGUGGCAGCUGGGAGUGGCCGUCAUUGCCUGCGCAUACCUAAACUUGGUCAGCAGCCAAGUGUUUUGUGAGACCUAAGAAAGGAAGAGCCCCAUAAGUAAAUGGAACUGUUGUGUUGUUUUAUUACCGAGAAAAGGGCAGAAUGAUUGCUAGUCACACGUGAAGCAAGAAAACCCCGGCAAUAAAGCUUGCAGAAUGAGUGGCUGAGGCUUGAAAAUAAAUGGUGGAAACAAUAGUGGACAAUCUUUUAAAGAAUGGCACAUUGCCAAUGCUCCUGAUGGCACAGAAGGUGACACCAUGCAGAAAAUCAAGGCUCUGAGUCAAAGAGGGUUUCAGAAAAAUUGGACUCUGAAUGUGAAGAAAUCUGGGGACUAUUUUAGCCAAUUUGUUUUGCCUAUAAUUUCCUUUUAUGCAUGCAAAAGAGCAAUUCUGAC
This 2425-nucleotide long non-coding RNA is filed under the name Homo sapiens (human). Its description in RNAcentral is "HSALNT0368144". The record is from RNAcentral. Lineage: Eukaryota; Metazoa; Chordata; Mammalia; Primates; Hominidae.